Molecule: unclassified non-coding RNA, 328 nt
Filed under: soil metagenome
Description: partial contains 5.8S ribosomal RNA, internal transcribed spacer 2, and large subunit ribosomal RNA
Rfam family: 5.8S ribosomal RNA (bases 1-120)
Source: RNAcentral
GAUGAAUAACGCAGCGAAAUGCGAUAAGUAAUGUGAAUUGCAGAAUUCAGUGAAUCAUCGAAUCUUUGAACGCACAUUGCGCCCCUUGGUAUUCCGAGGGGCAUGCCUGUUCGAGCGUCAUUAUAACCCCUCAAGCUCAGCUUGGUGUUGGGGCCUGCCGCACGGGCAGCCCUUAAAAUCAGUGGCGGUGCCAUCUGGCUCUAAGCGUAGUAAUUCUUCUCGCUAUAGAGUCCCGGUGGAUGCUUGCCAUUAACCCCCAAUUUUCUAUGGUUGACCUCGGAUCAGGUAGGGAUACCCGCUGAACUUAAGCAUAUCAAUAAGCGGAGGA